CCCAGAUGUCUGAGGCCAGGUGUCAUUGCUGCCCUAGGCGUGUGAAGGAACAGAGUCAAGCGGGUAUCCUCCUGGCAGCCUGUUGAGUCGCAUCAAGAUUUCAGGUACCGUGAGGAGGCGCAUAGCCGAAGUUUGGAAACGGCAGCACCGAAGCGGACGUAGAGAACGCGUCGCCGUCCACGUCCGGCUGACGAUGGAUUUUGUCCGGUCGUCUUGCAAAAGCUAAGUGUCGGGGCCAGUAGGUGGGAGAAGGGGAAAAACCUUUACUAUCA
Molecule: long non-coding RNA, 272 nt
Organism: Vidua macroura (Pin-tailed whydah)
Lineage: Eukaryota; Metazoa; Chordata; Aves; Passeriformes; Viduidae
Exons: 4
Source: RefSeq, a predicted model, not a curated record